RNAcentral lists this transfer RNA (87 nucleotides) under Candidatus Cloacimonadota bacterium. RNAcentral describes it as "Candidatus Cloacimonetes bacterium (marine metagenome) tRNA-Leu". It matches the Rfam family "tRNA". Rfam says of the family: Transfer RNA (tRNA) molecules are approximately 80 nucleotides in length. Their secondary structure includes four short double-helical elements and three loops (D, anti-codon, and T loops). Further hydrogen bonds mediate the characteristic L-shaped molecular structure. tRNAs have two regions of fundamental functional importance: the anti-codon, which is responsible for specific mRNA codon recognition, and the 3' end, to which the tRNAs corresponding amino acid is attached (by aminoacyl-tRNA synthetases). tRNAs cope with the degeneracy of the genetic code in two manners: having more than one tRNA (with a specific anti-codon) for a particular amino acid; and 'wobble' base-pairing, i.e. permitting non-standard base-pairing at the 3rd anti-codon position. Lineage: Bacteria; Pseudomonadati; Candidatus Cloacimonadota. The record is from RNAcentral.
GCGAAAGUGGCGGAACUGGCAGACGCGCUGGACUUAGAAUCCAGUGCCCUUACGGGUGUAGGGGUUCAAAUCCCCUCUUUCGCACCA